CAGCCGCCACGGUAAUACCGGCGGCCCGAGUGGCGGUCACUAUUAUUGGGCUUAAAGCGUCCGUAGCCGGGGUGGGAAGUCCUCCGGGAAAUCUGGCCGCUUAACGGUCAGAAUGCCGGAGGAUACUCCCAGCCUAGGGAGCGGGAGAGGCCGAGGGGAUUCCCGGAGUAGGGGGGAAAUCCUAUAAUCCCGGGAGGACCACCUGUGGCGAAGGCGCUCGGCGGGAACGCGUCCGACGGUGAGGGACGAAGGCCAGGGGAGCAAACCGGAUUAGAUACCCGGGUAGUCCUGGCUGUAAACGAUGCGGACUUUGUGUCGGACAAGCUAUGAGCUUGUCCGGUGCCGGAGGGAAACCGUUAAGUCCGCCGCCUGGGGAGUACGGCCGCAAGGCUGAAACUUAAAGGAAUUGGCGGG
This 414-nucleotide ribosomal RNA is filed under the name uncultured microorganism. RNAcentral describes it as "bacterial SSU rRNA". It matches the Rfam family "Archaeal small subunit ribosomal RNA", at positions 459 to 872 of the family's 1478-position model. The record is from RNAcentral.